UACGUAGGGUGCAAGCGUUGUCCGGAAUUAUUGGGCGUAAAGAGCUCGUAGGCGGUCUGUCGCGUCGAAUGUGAAAACCCGGGGCUCAACCCCGGGCCUGCAUUCGAUACGGGCAGACUAGAGUUCGGUAGGGGAGUCUGGAAUUCCUGGUGUAGCGGUGAAAUGCGCAGAUAUCAGGAGGAACACCGGUGGCGAAGGCGGCUUUCUGGGUCUUACCUGACGCUGAGGAACGAAAGCCAGGGGAGCGAACGGG
This 253-nucleotide ribosomal RNA is filed under the name uncultured bacterium. Its description in RNAcentral is "partial 16S ribosomal RNA". It matches the Rfam family "Bacterial small subunit ribosomal RNA", at positions 524 to 776 of the family's 1533-position model. The record is from RNAcentral.